RNAcentral lists this ribosomal RNA (510 nucleotides) under Triticum aestivum (bread wheat). RNAcentral's name for it is "partial small subunit ribosomal RNA". Lineage: Eukaryota; Viridiplantae; Streptophyta; Magnoliopsida; Poales; Poaceae. The record is from RNAcentral.
AUGUUGCGGGCGGAGGUUUUAAGCCCCCGCAGCCGCGCCCGGAUCGGAUGGACACCGCCAUGCACCCCGCCGGGCAUUAUUUGUGGUAUGCCAGACUUCAAGAUGGGUGGAAAGAGGGGCGAUGAAUCUGCCCCUACUGAUGCUGGUGAUGAAGACGGCGAAGAUGAUGACGGGGAUGAGGAUGGUGACUUCGCGGAGGGCGAAGAGGAAAUCUCGGAAGGAGAGGAGUAUGACAACCCCAAGGCCAGUGACGCCAAGAAGAAACAAAUAGGCGAGGGUGAGGAGAAUGGCGAGGAUGAUGAGGAAGAACAAGAGGAGCAGGAGGGUGGAGGAGGUGACGACGAUGAUGAUGACGACGACAACGACGAUGACAAUGAGGACGACGACGAUGAUGACGAUGAUGUCGCUGCUGAAGACGAUGGAGAUGGAGUAGAAGAGGAGGAUGAUGACGAUGAUGAGGAGGAGGACGAUGAGGACUCGCUCCAGCCCCCGAAGAAGAGGAAGAAGUGA